AUACGUAGGGGGCGAGCGUUGUCCGGAAUGACUGGGCGUAAAGGGCGUGUAGGCGGCCGAUUAAGUCUGGAGUGAAAGUCCCGCUUUCAAGGUGGGAAUUGCUUUGGAGACUGGUUGGCUUGAGUGCGGAAGAGGUAAGUGGAAUUCCCAGUGUAGCGGUGAAAUGCGUAGAGAUUGGGAAGAACACCGGUGGCGAAGGCGCCUUUCUGGACUGUGUCUGACGCUCAGAUGCGAAAGCCAGGGUAGCGAACGGGAUUAGAUACCCCGGUAGUCCUGGCCGUAAACGAUGGGUACUAGGUGUGGGGGGUAUCGACUCCUUCCGUGCCGGAGUUAACGCAAUAAGUACCCCGCCUGGGGAGUACGGCCGCAAGGCUUAGACUCAAAUGAAUUGACGGGG
This 397-nucleotide ribosomal RNA is filed under the name uncultured bacterium. RNAcentral describes it as "partial 16S ribosomal RNA". It matches the Rfam family "Bacterial small subunit ribosomal RNA", at positions 523 to 918 of the family's 1533-position model. The record is from RNAcentral.